This 405-nucleotide ribosomal RNA is filed under the name uncultured bacterium. Its description in RNAcentral is "partial 16S ribosomal RNA". It matches the Rfam family "Bacterial small subunit ribosomal RNA", at positions 30 to 525 of the family's 1533-position model. The record is from RNAcentral.
AUUGAACGCUGGCGGCAGGCCUAACACAUGUAAGUCGAACGAGUGGCGGACGGGUGAGUAAUGUCUGGGAAACUGCCCGAUGGAGGGGGAUAACUACUGGACACGGUAGCUAAUACCGCAUACCCUCGGAUGUGCCCAGAUGGGAUUAGCUAGUAGGUGGGGUAACGGCUCACCUAGGCGACGAUCCCUAGCUGGUCUGAGAGGAUGACCAGCCACACUGGAACUGAGACACUGUCCAGACCCCGACGGGAGGCAGCAUGGGGGAAGAUUGCGCGAUGGGCGCAAGCGUGAUGCAGCCAUGCCGCGUGUAUGAAGAAGGCCGUCGGGUUGUAAAGUACUUGCAGCGAGGAGGCGUUACUCGCAGAAGAAGCACUGGCUAACUCCGUGCCAGCAGCCGCGGUAAUU